CAAACACAUUUUUUCAUCAAGAAAACGCAAAACAUUUAUAUAUACCAGUACGUAGAGGUUAUAAUUAAUGAUUACCCGGGACACGGAAAUUAUCUGAACAUUAAGGGGCAACCAGAUAUGGGAACAACCGAAGCCAAACCAGUUUGCCAACAUUCUUGUAGCAGUGCAGUGACCGUGUACACAGAUGUUGACCAGGAUGAUUGGUUACGUAAUGAUACAACUGUGGAAAAACAAGUCUUGACAAACACAAAUAACAACAAAUCAAAUACUCAUCAACAAGUUAGCUCUUCCAAACACAAUGAACAAUGUCUUAUUUUUAGUGAUAAACAAGUCAACAGAACAACCAAAACAAUAUCACCAACCACCAGGAAUAUUACAAACGUUGUGGAAUUAGAGGAAUAUGAUUGAGUUAAAACUCGUAAUCUUACAAAACAAGAAUUAUAUCUAAAAAAAAAACGCAAUUAAAAACAAAGAUAUAAGGAUGGCUGUGUUGUGUAAACAGGAUUUAAUAUAUGUGAUAAGUGGAAUUGUACCAUGUGCUAUCAUUGAUACCAAAUUAUGAAAUGAGGGGGAAAUACUUAAACAAUAUAUGAAAUAUAAAUGUUAUACUUAAGCUAACUUGUUUGUACUUGAUUUUCGUUAAAUAUCUACAACAUCACGAUAAAAUGUAGGAUGAGAAAUACCGUCUAAUAUUAAUUAUUUACGAGAAACAUUAUAUUUUAUACAUUUAUGUAAUUUUAAAAGGGGUAAAAUUUAAAAAUGUUACUUUGCGACUUUGCUACCUCGCGAUUUUAUUAAAUGAAAGUGUGAGUUAAAGGAUUUGUAGCGUAUAUAUCAUGAAAUUACAAUGUACCAUUAACCCGAGACUUUAACUUACUUUACUCUGCAAAUUUCUCUGCUUCUGCAGUAUUAAGAAACAGUUCUAUUAUUUGGAGUACGAAAUUAUACGGUUGAAUUGCCAGUUUUUGUGUAUAUUUAUAAUUAAUAUUAUAUUGAUCUUUUCCAUUGAGCCAUCGCUGAAAUUGAAAAAAAUAAGACUUAUGAGAUUCCUUACCUUACUCCAAAGAAAAAAAGAUCGAAACCAGAUAAGAUUAAUUUCUGGUUUUAACGUAGUUCCAGGAUAAAAUACAUAAUUUAAUAAAAAAAAAAAAAGAUUUCAGAAAAGAAUUAAAGAUUUGAUAAGGCUAAAUCAUGAAUAAAUCUUUGUAUUCUAUGUUGUAUCGAAGAAAAUAUUGUGCAUAUUAUUUAUUAGUAUCUUCUUUUAUUAGAAAAGCUUAAAAUACAUACAUUUACAUUUCUUAAUGAAUACUUAAGAAUAACUAUUUAAUUUAAAGUGUCUCAUAAGUAAGUUUUAGCUGGAUACCAAUAUUUUAACCUUGAUGAAAAUUUAUUUUUUAUUUGUAUUCUUAUGUAUUAACAUUAACAUUAACGGUAAGAAUUUUACUGUUCCAGAUGUAGAUAUAUGAUGGAUGCAAUUUGUAACAGGCAUUUGCCUUUUUAAGACAUCGUGUCAGGGCCAUUUUGUUGAUCCAAUAUAUUACCUGAUAUAGAAUGUACACGUUUUUCAAUGCUAUGUCAUUAUUUAGUUGUUUCAAGAUCGAGUAAAAACAUGUUUUUGCUUGAUUUCACAUUGAAACUUAUUUAAAUUCGAUUUAGCAUUUAUCAAACGCAUUAUCUAAUGGAUUGUGAUUUUAAAUCAAUUCCCUUUAAACUGUCCCAAUAACAGUUAUAUCGUUUCCAGGUGCAGUCAUACAGUAAAUGUUGCCUUUGUCUUCAACAGUCUCUUUUCUAUCCAUGAUUUUCAACCAAAUAUCGGCCCUAUUCCCAAUUCAAAACAGGCGGGCUUUGCCUAAAUUGUAAUCCAAUGUUCCCAUUGAUAUCAUAAAUACCCAAAACCUCUAAAAUAUAGUCUAUCAAAUCACAUUAAAGCGUUAUUGCAAUAAAAUAUCUUGUGUGUUUAGAAUUUUUACUAUUUACGAAUAUGUGAAAUUUGUAACUUGACAGCAUAUACUAAAUUACGAAUAAAAUAAAUUUACUGUUUCUUGAAAUGGCUACUGGUUCAGUGAAAUCAAAGAAAAGAUACGUUGUUUUUUUUCAGAUCCAAGCCCGUAUAAACUGAUCCAUGUGAUAGUAAAUGCAUGUUUUACUAAAUCGUGCAGUGUACUAUUUUGACAUCUCGCGGCAUAAGAGCAAAUUUACAUUACUAGUACAUAAAUAAAUCAAGUAAGAAAGAUAGUGCAAAAGAACCAGCCAUUGUAUUUAUAAAAAGUGUUUAAUCCUUACUUAUUAUCUGUACAAUGAAACUGCUACGCAACGACCAGUCCUAGUAGAAACUUCUGAAUACGAGAAUCCAAUUAAACUUAAGAGCUCAUUUGGUAACAAAAUAUCAUUGAUGUAUAUUUGGCUUGCAAGUCAACAAUUCAACAUAAUUUGACAUAAUUUGAAUAUGUAUUCAUGCAACAUUCAAUUUGACACUUAGCGGAGAUAUGUUGCGCAUGUGUUCAGCAUGUGUUACGUUCAUUCAUUAGAGCUAAUUCCUUAAUGCUUGUAGAUUAAGACUUUGGUUUGCUUGCUUGCUUUCUUUGUAUAAACUUUUGCUCAAGCAUUGUAAUUAUAAUUGCCAUCUGCAAACAAUAUAAAUAGGCGCAUUUAAACCUGUAUACAUUACACUUAAAUUUGAUUGGAUGUUAUCCCGGAAGUUAGGAACACCCAAUUGCACAUGUAAACAUUACAGGACAAAUAUUAUUGGGUGUUCCUAACCUCCAGCAUAAAGUCCAAUCAAAUCUAAGUAUAAUGUAUAGAAAAGAAUGUCAACAUUGAAAAGUGAAAUAUAGGAGUUACCAGGAAUAAUUAUUUCGUUGAAUGGCCUGGUCCAUAAAAAAUAAUUCUUAUACAAGUAAAACGAUGGUUUUUAUGUUAUACGAUAGCACGUGCUUGUGUUUAUAUCGGUUUGUAUAACCAUCGGCAGUCUUCGAAGGUCAUCUCGAUGGAUAAUUAGAUGGCGUCUGGUCUAAAAUACACACGAAUUACGGAUACAUUAUAAUGAGUUUAUGCAUUGUUAAUUGUUUCUUUUUUUCUUUUUGUAAUUUGGAUAUACGUUUUAGUGUAUAAGAAUUUGGAACAAUACAUGAAUUUGACAGCUAAUGCCGUUUUUUUUAGUAAUAAUUGCAACAUGGCGUGAAUAUCGAACGUGACUAGUGAUGCAAAGCAAAUACAAAUUUAGUAUUAAUUUAUUCUUUUACAUUCAAAAUUAUCAAUCAAUCAAAAUUAAAACUGCCUGAGCCUAUUUAUUAAUAUGAAUUUUGACGCGACACUUUAUAACAAGAUAAAACAGUAAAGACAACAUUAUUCAUUGAUCGAUUAUCGAAAACCCUGUGGAAUACCUCUUUUUUUCGUUAUAUGGAUAAUAGUGUUUUACUUGUUUUUGUAUUUUUUGAAUGCAUGUUUUAUACCUAUGAUACUUUCUUAAUUGUACAAUAUGAUAUUUAAAACUUACAAAUAUAAUUUUAUCUAAUUA
Long non-coding RNA from Mytilus californianus (California mussel), 3517 nucleotides. RefSeq lists it as uncharacterized. Lineage: Eukaryota; Metazoa; Mollusca; Bivalvia; Mytilida; Mytilidae. The transcript has 2 exons. The record is from RefSeq and is a predicted model, not a curated record.